ACAAGCGGCGGAGCAUGCGGAUUAAUUCGAUGCAACGCGAAGAACCUUACCAAGGCUUGACAUACACGAGAAGCCCUAGAAAUAGGGAACUCUUUGGACACUCGUGAACAGGUGGUGCAUGGUUGUCGUCAGCUCGUGUCGUGAGAUGUUGGGUUAAGUCCCGCAACGAGCGCAACCCUCGUUCUAUGUUGCCAGCACGUAAUGGUGGGAACUCAUGGGAUACUGCCGGGGUCAACUCGGAGGAAGUGGGGAUGACGUCAAAUCAUCAUGCCCCUUAUGUCUUGGGCUUCACGCAUGCUACAAUGGCCGGUACAAAGGGCUGCAAUACCGUAAGGUGGAGCGAAUCCCAAAAAGCCGGUCCCAGUUCGGAUUGAGGUCUGCAACUCGACCUCAUGAAGUCGGAGUCGCUAGUAAUCGCAGAUCAGCAACGCUGCGGUGAAUACGUUCCCGGGUCUU
Molecule: ribosomal RNA, 456 nt
Filed under: uncultured Microbacterium sp.
Lineage: Bacteria; Bacillati; Actinomycetota; Actinomycetes; Micrococcales; Microbacteriaceae
Description: bacterial SSU rRNA
Rfam family: Bacterial small subunit ribosomal RNA
Source: RNAcentral